This 348-nucleotide unclassified non-coding RNA is filed under the name Hevea brasiliensis (rubber tree). Lineage: Eukaryota; Viridiplantae; Streptophyta; Magnoliopsida; Malpighiales; Euphorbiaceae. The record is from RNAcentral.
AUCCUUUUGCAAAUUUUGUUACUUUUAAGUCAAGAUAAGAAACCUUUCUAGGACACACUGUUAGGUGGUGUAGUAUCCACUUGAGUAAUUAUUUCGCUUGGCGAGAGUAUCUGGGUUGAAGGGUAGUGGACUGGACUGGAUCAAAUUUCUACUGAAGGGUAUAUAGCCUGUCUUCGAAUUGCGGCUUUCAGAUGCUUCUGCCAAUGCAAUGCAAUGCAAUUAAAUCAUGAUACUCAACUUGGGAAAAAUACAGUGUAACAUGCUUGUGUAUGUUUGACGUUGUUUACAUUUUUAAGCCGAAGAAAUCGUUUGUACAAAUAUUACAUUAUGCUCAGCUUCGAUGAAGUU